GAUGAAGAACGCAGCGAAAUGCGAUACGUAAUGUGAAUUGCAGAAUUCAGUGAAUCAUCGAGUCUUUGAACGCACAUUGCGCCCCCUGGUAUUCCGGGGGGCAUGCCUGUCCGAGCGUCAUUGCUGCCCUCAAGCACGGCUUGUGUGUUGGGCCUCCGUCCUCCUCCCGGGGGACGGGCCCGAAAGGCAGCGGCGGCACCGCGUCCGGUCCUCGAGCGAAUGGGGCUUCGUCACCCGCUCUUGUAGGCCCGGCCGGCGCUUGCCGACACAUCAAUCUUUUUUCUAGGUUGACCUCGGAUCAGGUAGGGAUACCCGCUGAACUUAAGCAUAUCAAUAAGCGGAGGA
This 345-nucleotide unclassified non-coding RNA is filed under the name soil metagenome. RNAcentral describes it as "partial contains 5.8S ribosomal RNA, internal transcribed spacer 2, and large subunit ribosomal RNA". The stretch from base 1 to 120 matches the Rfam family "5.8S ribosomal RNA", at positions 35 to 154 of the family's 154-position model. The record is from RNAcentral.